Molecule: long non-coding RNA, 208 nt
Filed under: Elaeis guineensis (African oil palm)
Lineage: Eukaryota; Viridiplantae; Streptophyta; Magnoliopsida; Arecales; Arecaceae
Description: long non-coding RNA (EGUI_LNC017431)
Source: RNAcentral
UCAUCAAAGCCCCCAACCUCUUCUCUAUAUUGGACUCUAGCCUGUGUUGACGCCUCAACCACCAGUGAGCUUGCUGAUUUUUGAGAAUAACCAAGAAAAGGGCCUAGGUUCAGACUUAUUUUGGUUUGAUUUCUAUCUCUCCUGUUGAUCGCUGUCACCGAAGAUAUCUCACUAUCCAUCAUCAGACAUCCAGCUACGCCACUACACC